This 267-nucleotide ribosomal RNA is filed under the name uncultured bacterium. Its description in RNAcentral is "partial 16S ribosomal RNA". It matches the Rfam family "Bacterial small subunit ribosomal RNA", at positions 793 to 1055 of the family's 1533-position model. The record is from RNAcentral.
GUCCUAGCCCUAAACGGUGCGCGUUUGCUGUAGGAGGAAUCGACCCCUUCUGUGGCGAAGCUAACGCGAUAAACGCGCCGCCUGGGGAGUACGGUCGCAAGAUUAAAACUCAAAGAAAUUGACGGGGGCCUGCACAAGCGGUGGAGUAUGUGGCUUAAUUCGAUGCAACGCGAAGAACCUUACCUGGCCUUGACAUGCAUUUGGUAGAACCAUGAAAGUGGGACGACCCCGCAAGGGGAGGAUGCACAGGUGCUGCAUGGCUGUCGU